UGUCCCGAACUCCUCCUGCCCAGCUGGGGGACUCCCUGGAGGAGCUGGGCAGGCUCUUCCUGCAGCCGCUGGUCCCGACCCCACAGCAGCAGGGCUUGUCCAGCCGCCAUUCCUUCCACAUCUCUGCAGGUCCCUCUCCUUCUGCGCUGGGUCAACAGCCCCAGGCUAAGACAAGAACCCCUACUUGGGUCCGGCAACCCUUCCCUGUCCCUGCAGCCGCGUUUUGUCCUGGAGGCCACCAGGGGGCGUCGCAGGCCCACGCGUGAUCGGCGGGGACUGCGGAGGCGCCCUGGCUCCUAUCUCCAGGAGGCGGUGGGGCGGGGGUCGGAGCCUUUCGGGAGAUUUGGUGGCAGUGGUGGGAUCGAAGAAGAUUCCAGCAGCUUUGGUGACAAGGAGAAAAGCAGUCAUGAAAGAAGCUGCUGCUAGUGGUGAUCUCAGAGGCCAAAAAGCUGCAAAAACUGGUGACCACAGGUUGAGCACCUACAGGCUGUCAUCAGACCCAAGGCCUCGUGUGUUAGGAUAAGUCAGUUGCAGGAUGGGUUUGAUCGACUCUGGGCCACCAGCAAAUGCCAAGAAAACGUCUCAGCAGCAAGGUCCCCGUGGCACUUGCACAGCCCCUGUCCAGAAGCACAUCCCUUUGGGGUACCAGUUUGGCUCCAAGAAACCCAAAGCCUUGGCUCUUAGGAUCCUUGGAUUCCUGACUCCGAUACACUUGCUGAUUUGGGGUCUAACAGCUAUGGUCCCAGAAGUUACAAAUACUGACAAAAAUGGCGAACUGUCAUUAAAAACAACCUAGAAUGCGUGACUACCACGAGGAAUGUUAAUUGAGCAGCACCUGAGAGCAAGCAGGUGGACACUGAUUGUAGUUGGUGGGCAGAGGCCUCCAGAAGGCUUCAAGACUCUGAAAUGUCUUCAUUAAAAGGCGUCCUGCCUAAUGAGAAAGGAAAGACCUGAGAGGUGCCUGAACACGACGGUAGGCCUGACAUGGCUCCCACUGGCCCUGCCUGAGCGCCUGUGUGGUACCAGUUCUCUGUCUGGACAGCUUCCUGCUCGGAAGAGGCUAUCACACAGGUGCCUUUGAGAAGAAAGCCGCCGGCGUUGCCGCCAGUCCCCCUGAGAUCCUGAGCUCUCGUCCACUCUUUGGUCAAAGACCAAACCAAUGGGCAGAAUUUUAACGUUUCCUAAACCCAGGGUGCACCCCCCCAGAUAUUUUAGGUUUGGAGUCGUUACUGGGCUUCUGCCCCAGGGCUGCCAGAUCUUUAUCUGCCUGUGUGUGAGCUGGUUGGACUCAGGGUUCCCAAAAUGGACCUAGGAAGCAGGACGGCGGAGUCUCAAGGGGGAUAUUAGAGAUCCAUCGUCCGCACGGGGAAGCUCUUUCUAUGGCCUCCCAGGCUCCGCGCAAUAAACCGGGGCGCCCAGCCUGCUCUGGAUCCCGCGAGAUUAGAGGCUGAUAAAAAGGCAGGAAAUAGGAUGGGCGGCCCCCCCAUCUCAUGACCGAGGCUGAACACUUUGAAAGGACUUUGGACCAAGGUCAUUAACAAAGGUCCUUCAAAUGAGUGGCCUUACAGCCACAGCAGCUCCAAGGCAAGAACCCUAAAGUCACGCCUGGGCCCCCACAUCAUACCCUCGCGGUCCACCACCGACCCAUCGGCCCAAGGGUGUUUCAUCUGUGAUCCGCUGGGGCACCCAGAAAGCCGUCCUCGAAGGUGCCAAGGAAAUCCCUCAACAUCCACUCCCGCCACCAGAGGAGGCCCCUUGUGCCCCUCCCAGGGCUGACAGGACCCCCAAGGGGCCCGCCAGGAAACUGCUGGCGGGAAUAUCCUUAAACAGCCGAGGGGAAGCGACAGCUAACAUCACUGGACAAUCUUGCCAAAUUCUGAUCGAUACCGGGGCUGCCCUCGCUGCUUCACACCCACCCGCACAGGACAGCAGACUCCUCACGUGGGGUAGCUCGUUCAGAGAGCAUUUCUACCUCAGCCAGUGCGAAGGACGCCGGACCUGCUCCUGAACACGUUCCUUUUUGCUGCAGGUCGCCGGCCCCGCGCCCCGCGGGCAGCGGUCUCCUCCCUCCGCAGCGAGUGUGGGUGGGUCUCGCCUCCCGUGAGGCCUCGCUGGUGGCUGUGGACCAGCCUGGGCCUGGUCCUUUCGUGCCGCAGGCUGUCCCUGGCCCAGAGAGGAAGACGUUCCACAAAGCCCCCCCCCCCAUCUGUGGGCUGCGUCUAUAAAGAGGGCUGACCCUGUACCACCCUCAGCGACCAAACCCACCUCCCCUUCGACCCCGCGACAGCCGCGAAGGCCUCAGGCCGGGCCCGGUCUCACCUCUGGCGGGAGACUUAAGCGCCCGGGGACCGGCCCCCACAGCGCAGGUCCUGCCGGUCCGGGGCAGGAGGGGCCAGUGAUUUGCCCAGGGUCUGGGCGCUGUUGGCUGUCGGUGACGCGUCUCCUGCUGUUCGGAACCUGAACACCCUCGGCCACAAGAUCCGGCCGGUUCAAAACGGUUCCCUCUUGGCGGCCUUGGUUCAGGCCUCUCCCUGCCCCCUUAGACCCCAAGGCCAAGGCCUGUUCGCCUUUGCUCCAAACGAUCAGCAGCAGCCCCGGGGGGCCGUGCCCGAGAGGUUCCCGGGGCCCCUCCGGCUUCUCCCAAGUGCUCCGCCGAGCUGUAGGGCCCCUCUUACACCACGCCGGGGACCUGCUGUGCCCCGUCCCCAAAGACACAUCCAGGGAAGACCCCAGGCGUUUGCUGCAGCCGUUAGCCGGGAAAGGACAGUCUCCGGGAAGGUGACACUCAUCUCUAUCCACUCUUUGUUGCCUAGGUCGUAACUGAAGUGCUGGACAAUUCCGCCAUCUCCGAAAAGAAUUAAGCCGAUCCAGGAAUUACCCAGGCCCACAGCUAAGCGGCAGCCUUGGGCGUCUCUAGGCUGCGCUGGGCAUGGGCGACGCUGGGUUCCUGUGUCUUCUUGAUUUGCUCCCCCACUUUAUGCACGGACUUCUCAGUCCUGAGCCCCCUCCCCAGCAGGAUAAAUGGGAACUGGCCUUUCCGAGACUAAAACGCGUGCUGGGAGAACGCCCACCCUGGGCUGCCCAGCACUUCCAAACCUGUCACUUUAUUUGUGCCUGAGGAGCUAGGCCCUGGGAGGCUGUCGCAGGGACAGUCGGUCAGAAGCACCCUGACUCAGCGCUGGCACCCGCCUCAGCUGCCUUAAGGUCACAGCCGCAGCUGCAAAGUGGGCAGACGCAGCUUUGACGCUGGAGGUGAUGUGUACUUACCCUUCCCGCUGUCCAGAGUUUUCCCUCGGAACUGACCCAGCAUAGGCUUCUGACCCUACCCCUGCUUCCACCUCCACCACCUUCCUCUUAAAAUGUCCUCGGAGUUC
Molecule: long non-coding RNA, 3374 nt
Organism: Phacochoerus africanus (Common warthog)
Lineage: Eukaryota; Metazoa; Chordata; Mammalia; Artiodactyla; Suidae
Exons: 3
Source: RefSeq, a predicted model, not a curated record